Molecule: small nuclear RNA, 105 nt
Filed under: Chinchilla lanigera (long-tailed chinchilla)
Lineage: Eukaryota; Metazoa; Chordata; Mammalia; Rodentia; Chinchillidae
Source: RNAcentral
GUGCACGCUUCAGCAGCACAUACAUUAACAUUGGGAUGGUAGAGAAGAUUAGCAUGGCCCCCGCGCAGGGAUGACACGCAAAUUCGUGAAGCGUUCCGUAUUUAA